Parelaphostrongylus tenuis is the source of this 74-nucleotide non-coding RNA. Lineage: Eukaryota; Metazoa; Nematoda; Chromadorea; Rhabditida; Metastrongylidae. The record is from the annotation of a GenBank genome assembly.
GCCUCGGUGGUGUAGUGCUGGUAGCACGCGUCCCCGGUAUGGAUGAAACGUGGGUUCGAUUCAUGUCUAAGGCC